This 1771-nucleotide long non-coding RNA is filed under the name Homo sapiens (human). RNAcentral describes it as "HSALNT0299580". Lineage: Eukaryota; Metazoa; Chordata; Mammalia; Primates; Hominidae. The record is from RNAcentral.
GGGAAACCCAUUUUUCUGCUUGUCUGGAGAAGCAAGACACAGGCAUGUGACAUCCAAAGCAGCACGCUAUGUUCUUGCCACAAACUUAUGGAAACAAUCAAUUCCAUUUGGUCUGUUCAGCUCCUAUUGCCUUGGAUUCUGACCUGGGCAAGCCAUGAGGACCCAAAUCAUUCAAAAACCUCCCUCAGAAGGGCUUCAGACUUGUCCUGAAACUAUACCAUGGCUCUUCUGGGUCUCCAGCUUGCCAACUGCAGAUCUUGAGACUUCUCAACCUCCAUAAUCAGAGUAAAAGUUGUUACAUAAGUGAUCUCAAUCUAAUAAUGUGCUGCAGUGGAAAAGCCUUAUGGAGCAAAUGUUAAAGAAACAGAGAGACAUCAUCAAGAUGGCUGACUAGAGGCAGCUGGCACUCAUCUCCUCCACCAAAAAGAAGGAAAACAGUCAGCAGAUAACCACAGGUUAAACAGAGCAUCUAAGAGGGAACAAUGGAAUUCAGCACAAAAGGGACAGGGACUCUCCAAGGCACAGAGAAAGAGGGAAGAUAAGCAGCAGUCUCAGCCGGGAUUGGCUCAGAGCCAGGAAAGGCUCCCCAUUGUAGGGAAAAGAAAGCGAAGUAUCCCGUGACUGAGCCUGUCGUCUGAUGCGUGUUGGUGAAGACCACAGGGAGCACUGGAGGUCAUUUAGUCAAGCCAUGGUAUUUACCAGGAGUCCAUCACUGGGUACAUGACACAGUCCUGUCUUAUGCAGGGACGGAGCAGAAGCAGUAAAAAACACAAUCGACUGUGCUCAAGGAACUUAAAAACCUCGUUUGUGAAAUAAGGUUGAUGUAUGAGGUCACACAGAACCAUGGAAAGAGCACUGGACCAGAAUCAGGAAAUCUAGAUUCUGGCUAAAAUCACUGCUUCAGACAGGUGCGAGGAAAAGAGCAGUGAAGAAAAACAAAACAAAAGUUCCUGCCUCCGUGGAGCUCAAGUUCUAGUUGAAUACACAGAUUUUUUAAAAAACCCAAUGAUAGAAAACUGUCACAUGUAGAUAAAUGCCAAGGAGAGAAACAAGGUCCUUACAGAGAAAAAAAGUUGUCAAGAAAGCUCUUUAGGAUGAGUUGACAUUUAAGCAAUGACCUGAAGGGACUGCUGAAAUGAACGUGUGUAUUUAUAGGCGAUAAAGGCUCAUAUCAGGAGAAAGAGCAAGUGCGAAGGCCCUACGCUAGGAAUGCCCGUGGUAACAGAGGAACAGCAAAGAGGCUAGUGUGACCAAAGCGGAGCAAGAAAGUAGGGGGCAAAACACGAGCUCAAAGACGGAGUGGGAUCACUUACGGCCCUACUGCCAUAUUUGGGUUUUGCUCUGAAGAAGAUAGAAAGCCACUGGAUUUUGAGCCAAGGCAUGAAGGAGUCUGACUUCUGCUUUAAAAGGAUCAUUCUGGCUGUUGUGUAGAGAAUGGGCUAUAAAAAGGUGAAUGGAAGUGGAGAAAAUGGUUAGGAAGUCACUGCUAUAGCCCAGGUGAUAGACAAUGGUGACUCGGAUGUCGGUAGCAGGAGAACUGGGUAGCACAGCCAACAGGCCUUACUUACUGCGGGACGGCUUGUGGGGAAUGAAAGGAGUCAGGAUAAUGCUCGAGUUUUUGGCCGAAGCAAGUGGAAGAUCAUAGCUACCAUUUAUUAAGAUGAGGAAGAAUUUAACAGGAACAAAUUUGGUUACAGGGAGUUGAGAGCAAGUCCAACAGUUCUGUUUUGGUUAAGUUAAAUUUGAAAUCCAAGCCAAGACUAAGAAUGAA